Molecule: ribosomal RNA, 384 nt
Filed under: uncultured bacterium
Lineage: Bacteria
Description: bacterial SSU rRNA
Rfam family: Bacterial small subunit ribosomal RNA
Source: RNAcentral
UACGUAGGGUGCGAGCGUUAAUCGGAAUUACUGGGCGUAAAGCGUGCGCAGGUGGUUGUGUAAGCUUGAUGUGAAAUCCCCGGGCUUAACCUGGGAACUGCAUUGAGGACUGCACGGCUAGAGUGUGGCAGAGGGGGGUAGAAUUCCACGUGUAGCAGUGAAAUGCGUAGAGAUGUGGAGGAAUACCAAUGGCGAAGGCAGCCCCCUGGGUUAACACUGACACUCAUGCACGAAAGCGUGGGGAGCAAACAGGAUUAGAUACCCUGGUAGUCCACGCCCUAAACGAUGUCUACUAGUUGUUGGGAAGGGAGACCUUCUUAGUAACGCAGCUAACGCGUGAAGUAGACCGCCUGGGGAGUACGGUCGCAAGAUUAAAACUCAAAG